Molecule: ribosomal RNA, 431 nt
Filed under: uncultured bacterium
Lineage: Bacteria
Description: partial 16S ribosomal RNA
Rfam family: Bacterial small subunit ribosomal RNA
Source: RNAcentral
CCUACGGGGGGCAGCAGUGGGGAAUUUUCCGCAAUGGGCGAAAGCCUGACGGAGCAAUCUCGCGUGAGGGAUGACGGCCUAUGGGUUGUAAACCUCUUUUUUCAGGGAUACGGUACCUGAAGAAUAAGCAUCGGCUAACUCCGUGCCAGCAGCCGCGGUAAGACGGAGGAUGCAAGUGUUAUCCGGAAUCACUGGGCGUAAAGCGUCUGUAGGUGGUUUAAUAAGUCAACUGUUAAAUCUUGAGGCUCAACCUCAAAAUCGCAGUCGAAACUAUUAGGCUAGAGUAUAGUAGGGGUAAAGGGAAUUUCCAGUGGAGCGGUGAAAUGCGUAGAGAUUGGAAAGAACACCGAUGGCGAAGGCACUUUACUGGCUUUACUAACACUCAGAGACGAAAGCUAGGGUAGCAAAUGGGAUUAGAUACCCUUGUAGUC